This is a long non-coding RNA of Mobula hypostoma (lesser devil ray), 539 nucleotides long. RefSeq lists it as uncharacterized. Lineage: Eukaryota; Metazoa; Chordata; Chondrichthyes; Myliobatiformes; Myliobatidae. The transcript has 3 exons. The record is from RefSeq and is a predicted model, not a curated record.
UCGAGUCGUCAUGAUAGAGAAAGAGUUGGACAAAGCCCAUAGAAUAUCCAUCAGUAAACAUUUUCCUAUGCCAUAUUAGUGGGUCGCCAUGGCUUCGCAGCGUCCGGGGACAAUAGCGCAAGUUUGCACACUCGAAUACUGUCACCCUGCCAACGCACGCAACAGCUAAAAAAGGACAAUCUAUUGGAAACGAUGAACUCCGUGGGGAAGCCACUUUGGAACAGUACAAGGCAGCCAUGGAAUAAUGAGUGAUUACAUCUCCAUGCCCUGAAGUCUGAUUUAAAGAAAUGAGAGAAACAACGGUACCUGUCACAAAGUGAGCUGGCAAUAUUCAAACCCAAGUGCGGAGGAGAGACAGACUCCAUUGUAGAGACAACCAUGAGAGUUUAUUCCUGAUAAUCCCAAAAGAACAUUGGUGCCUCAGCUGAGCGCACUGUGAGAAAUAACAUUCUCACAACUAUGAUCCUGCAAUUAGCACUAAUUGGUACUCCACUUAAAUAAUAAAAAUAGCAUGAAAUCCCCAAGCUUAUCGAAAUAAA